Molecule: non-coding RNA, 91 nt
Organism: Musa acuminata subsp. malaccensis (wild Malaysian banana)
Lineage: Eukaryota; Viridiplantae; Streptophyta; Magnoliopsida; Zingiberales; Musaceae
Source: RefSeq, a predicted model, not a curated record
GCGCCUACUUGUCUAUCCGUUCCUUGGCGGCUUGUCCCCUCCUAAAUGGGAUCUUUUCUUUAUAUAUGAUGAAACUCACUCGGGUCGGGGU